This 1489-nucleotide ribosomal RNA is filed under the name uncultured organism. Its description in RNAcentral is "SSU rRNA". It matches the Rfam family "Bacterial small subunit ribosomal RNA". The record is from RNAcentral.
UGAACGCUGGCGGCGUGCCUAAUACAUGCAAGUCGAACGAGUUCUGAUUAUUGAAAGGUGCUUGCAUCUUGAUUUUAAUUUUGAACGAGUGGCGGACGGGUGAGUAACACGUGGGUAACCUGCCCUUAAGUGGGGGAUAACAUUUGGAAACAGAUGCUAAUACCGCAUAAAUCCAAGAACCGCAUGGUUCUUGGCUGAAAGAUGGCGUAAGCUAUCGCUUUUGGAUGGACCCGCGGCGUAUUAGCUAGUUGGUGAGGUAACGGCUCACCAAGGCAAUGAUACGUAGCCGAACUGAGAGGUUGAUCGGCCACAUUGGGACUGAGACACGGCCCAAACUCCUACGGGAGGCAGCAGUAGGGAAUCUUCCACAAUGGACGCAAGUCUGAUGGAGCAACGCCGCGUGAGUGAAGAAGGCUUUCGGGUCGUAAAACUCUGUUGUUGGAGAAGAAUGGUCGGCAGAGUAACUGUUGUCGGCGUGACGGUAUCCAACCAGAAAGCCACGGCUAACUACGUGCCAGCAGCCGCGGUAAUACGUAGGUGGCAAGCGUUAUCCGGAUUUAUUGGGCGUAAAGCGAGCGCAGGCGGUUUUUUAAGUCUGAUGUGAAAGCCCUCGGCUUAACCGAGGAAGUGCAUCGGAAACUGGGAAACUUGAGUGCAGAAGAGGACAGUGGAACUCCAUGUGUAGCGGUGAAAUGCGUAGAUAUAUGGAAGAACACCAGUGGCGAAGGCGGCUGUCUGGUCUGUAACUGACGCUGAGGCUCGAAAGCAUGGGUAGCGAACAGGAUUAGAUACCCUGGUAGUCCAUGCCGUAAACGAUGAAUGCUAGGUGUUGGAGGGUUUCCGCCCUUCAGUGCCGCAGCUAACGCAUUAAGCAUUCCGCCUGGGGAGUACGACCGCAAGGUUGAAACUCAAAGGAAUUGACGGGGGCCCGCACAAGCGGUGGAGCAUGUGGUUUAAUUCGAAGCAACGCGAAGAACCUUACCAGGUCUUGACAUCUUUUGAUCACCUGAGAGAUCAGGUUUCCCCUUCGGGGGCAAAAUGACAGGUGGUGCAUGGUUGUCGUCAGCUCGUGUCGUGAGAUGUUGGGUUAAGUCCCGCAACGAGCGCAACCCUUAUGACUAGUUGCCAGCAUUUAGUUGGGCACUCUAGUAAGACUGCCGGUGACAAACCGGAGGAAGGUGGGGAUGACGUCAAAUCAUCAUGCCCCUUAUGACCUGGGCUACACACGUGCUACAAUGGAUGGUACAACGAGUUGCGAGACCGCGAGGUCAAGCUAAUCUCUUAAAGCCAUUCUCAGUUCGGACUGUAGGCUGCAACUCGCCUACACGAAGUCGGAAUCGCUAGUAAUCGCGGAUCAGCACGCCGCGGUGAAUACGUUCCCGGGCCUUGUACACACCGCCCGUCACACCAUGAGAGUUUGUAACACCCGAAGCCGGUGGCGUAACCCUUUUAGGGAGCGAGCCGUCUAAGGUGGGACAAAUGAUUAGGG